GGCCUCCCUCUGUGGGGUGAUUGAUUGCGGGGCCCCCAAAUCAAUCGCCCAGCAGAGGGAGGUC
Molecule: microRNA precursor, 64 nt
Filed under: Myotis lucifugus (little brown bat)
Lineage: Eukaryota; Metazoa; Chordata; Mammalia; Chiroptera; Vespertilionidae
Description: mir-9242 microRNA precursor family
Rfam family: mir-9242 microRNA precursor family
Source: Rfam by way of RNAcentral